Molecule: transfer RNA, 72 nt
Filed under: Camelus bactrianus (Bactrian camel)
Lineage: Eukaryota; Metazoa; Chordata; Mammalia; Artiodactyla; Camelidae
Also listed under: 3 other names
Rfam family: tRNA
About the family: Transfer RNA (tRNA) molecules are approximately 80 nucleotides in length. Their secondary structure includes four short double-helical elements and three loops (D, anti-codon, and T loops).
Source: Rfam by way of RNAcentral
GAGGGUAUAGCUCAGUCGUAGAGUGUCCAUCUAGCAUGCAUGAGGUCCUGGGUUCAAUCCCCAGUACCUCCA